Molecule: long non-coding RNA, 337 nt
Filed under: Zostera marina
Lineage: Eukaryota; Viridiplantae; Streptophyta; Magnoliopsida; Alismatales; Zosteraceae
Description: long non-coding RNA (ZMAR_LNC000688)
Source: RNAcentral
UCCAUAAGGUUUACUUCACUAACUUUUCAAUCCUUCCGAUUCCUUCUUUGGUUAGUGAAAUCCUUUUGCAUUCUGGGUUAUGCAUCUCGCAAAUGGGUGCCGCCUUUUUCUUUUAUGUGAGAGGGUUUAUAAAUGUCCUUAGGGAUGCUGGCAUUGUUCCAACGGCUAGGCUAUUCUUCCAUUUCUUCACUUUUCAAAUGCAGCUAAGUAUAGUAUGUCUACUGAGCUGCCAUUGUCUACCAUGACUUUACUUAGACUUAAAUCAUCCCCGAUGUCCACCUGUAUUACCAGCGGAUCUUCAUGCGGGCUGACCACAUUAUCCAGAUCUUUCUCGGAG